AAGAUACGAAGUACAUCAUCUAUGGAGUGUUGUUUUUCAUGUUUUUCAUGUUUUCAUCAAUAAUUGUCGUGUAUGUGAGAAAAAUGUAGAAGGUUAUCGAUCCCUAGAUUGCAUAUGCCUUCUAUUCCCUAUGUUUUCAAUAAUAUGUAAUUGUGUCGUGAUAUUUUACGUUCAACCAUUGAAGUUACUUUGUGCCUAGCUAUAUUACAUAGUAUCAACCAUUUUACCAAACUAUUUGAUUAAUAUUCACAUAAAAAUUCAAUCUAAAAGACGAGACUGAAAAAACAUGUUAAAUUCAACGAAUUUAAUUAUGUGUUAUAUGAGUUUUUGCAGGCUAUUUAAGUAAAAAUAUAUAAAAAAAGAUGCAUUGUUUAUAUUUUUUUAAUCAUAUCUCUGAUAAAUGAUACAAUAUUCACUAAAAAUAUCUGAUUGAAUCAAUAAACAACAGAUGAUGGUUUUGGUUGGUCAUAUAGCUUACGGUUUUGUGUGUAUCAGAUUUAUCCCUACUAUAGUAAAAGAGAAGUACACAAGGGAUUCGGGUCGGUUUUUUUAAAGAAUUCCGAGUUAAAUUUUCAAUCGGAUAGUUGCCAUUAUUAAACUAAGAAAAAAGACAGCUUAUUUUAAGGAAUUAUGGUAAAAAUUACCUAAAAUAGAUCUCAAUCUUUAGAAAAAUAUUUAAAUAUGUAAAUUAUACCACAAUCUUGUGAUUUUAUUGUUAAUCGAUUCAAAAUUUUAUUAAAUAUCAUAACUAUAAAAUCUUAAUAGUUACGAUUUAGUUAUUUAAAUAUAGAAUAUGAAUUUUUGAAAUAUGAAAAAUUUUAAAUAGAAAAUGCAUGAUUCAAAUAAUAAAAUUACAUAUUUGUUAAAAAUAGGUGGUGUAUAAAAAAUCUAAGAGUGAACAUUUAUUUACCUAAAUAUAUGAAGAUUUAAAAAAUAUAUAUAUAACCAAAAAAGAGAUUGCUAUAUAAAAAGUAAAAAAAAACGUAUUUACUAUUUAAAAAUUAAGUGUAUAUAUAGCAAAAUCUAACACCAUUUUAUAUAUGACAAAAAAAAAACUCUGCUUUACCGAAUAUAUAACACCAUUUUAAUAUAGUUUCUAAAUUAUUUUCGAAUUUAUAAGAAAAAACAUUAAUACAUAAAUGUAACUAUAGAUCCUAAUUAUUAAAAAAAUCCAUAUACUAAUUAAUCAAUUUUUAUUCAACUCUAGGUUAUUUUAAUACACUUUGCCAAAAAUUUGACACCAAAUAUACAUUUUGAAAUAAUAUAUGUUGAUUAUAAAAUAAACAAAAUAAGAACAAAUACUAUAUAACACGUUAAAUAAAAA
Molecule: long non-coding RNA, 1324 nt
Filed under: Capsella grandiflora
Lineage: Eukaryota; Viridiplantae; Streptophyta; Magnoliopsida; Brassicales; Brassicaceae
Description: long non-coding RNA (CGRA_LNC001492)
Source: RNAcentral